This 495-nucleotide long non-coding RNA is filed under the name Chloebia gouldiae (Gouldian finch). Its description in RNAcentral is "Erythrura gouldiae (Gouldian finch) lncRNA (ENSEGOG00005019522.1)". Lineage: Eukaryota; Metazoa; Chordata; Aves; Passeriformes; Passeridae. The record is from RNAcentral.
AAAUAAGAGUUGUUUCUUUGUGAUCUUUGAACUUGUUUGCAUGUUUCUCAUUUGUUCUUUCAGGUAAGACAGUGAAGUCUUUAACUGCUCCAGAAGAAGAGGGUCUGGAAAGAAAAUGUCUCUGGCAAAAAAGUAUCAGGUACAUGAUACUGCAGAGAUUCAAAAUCAGAAGUAAAUCAGUUGGACAGUUGCCUCCUGCCUUCCUAAAGAGGCAAAUAUAUUAGAAACAGAAGAAGGGGCCUGCCUACCUACCUCAUUCCUGGAGAAGGUGGGUUUGCUGCUGUGGAUGCCUGCCUCGUUUGCUUCACCAAAAUGAGUUAGGGCAUGCAGGAGAGAAGGGAGACUUUUGCAAGCAGAACCUAUCAUGAUUUCUCAGGGGACAAAAUUUUGCUUAUUCAUACCUUCUACUGUGGCAAAAAUGGAUUCUUUUCCUCACCAAAAACCAGCAGCAUAACACCCAUCCAACACCUGCCUCAAGGAACUCUCAUUAUUUAA